CUAAGAAUAUUCCGCAAUGGACGAAAGUCUGACGGAGCGACGCCGCGUGGAUGAAGAAGGCCGCAAGGUUGUAAAAUCCUUUUGCUGGGGAAGAAUAAGUCCAGGAGGGAAUGCCUGGAUGAUGACAUGAACCGGCGAAUAAGCCCCGGCCAACUACGUGCCAGCAGCCGCGGUAACACGUAGGGGGCAAGCGUUGUUCGGAAUUACUGGGCGUAAAGGGCAUGUAGGCGGUUUAGUAAGCUUGGCGUGAAAGACCACAGCUCAACUGUGGGGUUGCGUUGAGAACUGCUGAACUUGAGUUACGGAGAGGGAGCUAGAAUUCCUGGUGUAGGGGUGGAAUCUGUAGAGAUCGGGAGGAACACCAGCGGCGCAGGCGGCUCACUAGACAGUUUCUGACGCUAAGAUACGAAAGCGUGGGGAGCAAACA
This 427-nucleotide ribosomal RNA is filed under the name uncultured prokaryote. RNAcentral's name for it is "bacterial SSU rRNA". It matches the Rfam family "Bacterial small subunit ribosomal RNA", at positions 355 to 774 of the family's 1533-position model. The record is from RNAcentral.